UUUCGGGAAGUCAGCAACAGGAUAAUGGGUGUGAUGGUUAUAAUGUCGAUGCUUGAUGACGUGGCUCAGUGUGUAGUUAAGAAUAUUCUACAAGGUUCAUAUAUCAUUCAGACUUUCAUCGGUUUGUGAGCGCGCCUGUACGUACGUAUGUGCACGUGGGUGUGUGCCUAUGCUUGCAUAUAUAUGUGUGUGUAAAAGUGAAAGGAGAUGGAUAUGUUUUCAUACCUUCAAACUCACGAGAUACAGUACAGGACACCCGUGUGAUCUCAUUAUGAUGUCAGCAGGUACCAAGCAGUCAUGUCAACAGAAGGUAGUGCUUCCUCCUCUGCGACCAAUACCCUUCCACCUCCACCAGGUACCCCGACUGUUGCCUUGUGCUCCACUCACUGGAGGCCACCUCCUCCCUUCCAUCUCUUGUUUACACCAGCCCACGCGCACAUCUUCGUCAAAUGAGAGCCAAGUCCGGUGUGGCGUGCUCUCAUUUCCGCCCACAGAGCUUCAAUUUGUGUUCCUCCGCCAGUGAGCUGCAGUCAAAUAAUGGCCUUGACCAUAGCAGCCAGGCUGCCAGCAAACAACACAAACACCUCCACAACUUAUUCGCCAAGGACGAGCGGGACGCAGUGACCGGCCUUGGAACAUCGGCUUCAGAUGCUUGUGACGAGAAUGAAGGAAACAUUUCGCAUCUCUAUCCGAGAAAACCGUAUCCACUUCAACGGUUCGUUAGCAAGUCAGACAGAAUUGUCCUUCCCUGGACGAAGGGUCCUCCCGAUGCUCCGGUGAAGAAUGGCGCAAUGGACGUUGAUUUUCGUCGCUUGUCGAUGACUUCAUCCUCGCACCAGACAGAGCCCGAGACAUGUCCACCAUGUUCAGAGAAGAACACUUCCCAAUGACCUGACCCAAGCAUCUUAUUAAUUAAUCCAGAUUAGGACUCCGCUGUCCAGACCAGAGCGGCGAUUGGUAGAGUAAUACUCUACACUUUGUCUAGAGAGUGGACUUGCACACCUCCUGGCAAGUCCUGUUGGAGCAGUCACUACACCAAUCCCCUUGUCUGGUGAUAGCUGACAUCCUCGCAGACGAGGCUUGUCUUCAACCAGUCUAGAAAAUCUGUCUUAACGACCAGUAUCCUCCAAGAGCUUGAUGGCGAAACGUUGAGUCGAGGUCCAAGACUCAGUUAAAUCAGCGAUUUCAGAACCUCCGUGGCAUCCGACUGGUCAUUGACACUCACAUCCUCGCUCAGCCAUCCACGUAACCUAGCGACAGCCAAUCACGGAUCACACCUAAGUACAAGACAAUCAAAGUUGUCCAGCCUUUAAUGGCCAUAGUUAUCUGGGGUCACUUAGUGAGCCUGCCUAAGCCACCGGUCCUCUGAUCUGCGUCGUCUCUUAAUUACUAGAGUGCGGGGAAGCCGCGGACCUGUCACGUGCCAAAUGAUGUACACUGAUGGAUGCGAAACGCCCGUAGGUCACUUCCUGGGAAUGGCAACCGUUGGACUAAGAAUUAUCAAAUCAUCCCCCAUCCCACGCUCUCAUCUUUUAUCUAGUAUUGGCCAUCAGGAUCGACUUCCCUUCAUUUAGAAUUGGCUUGUCUGAUCAUUUACAGACUUACAAGGACCCUAACUUACACAACGGUGGUUUUCUCCAAGAAGUCCGGUUUCUUCCACCCGGGGUGUGUGUGUGUCUUCCUGUAUAUAAACUGCUUUAAGCAUAGUUUCGCAGAAAUAGCACUAUAGCAAAAUUAAUUGUUACUGUUAAAGCCAAAACAGAAUGAGCAAAAGAAAACACCAACGUGUUAUUUGUUAUUAUGUUAUUUGAGUAAAGAUGUAAACAUCUAUGCGAGUAAACGUUUAGUAAACAUAUUUAGUUCUUGUAUUGAAUUCUAUUUUGUCCAGACCUCAUUGCUACAUUUGACUUCACUAAGUCCGCUGAAUUCACACUAACCAUUUCAGCAUCGAUGACAAUGGCAGUGCUCCUCUCACCCCCCCCCCCCCCCACUUGUCCAGAAUACCGGCACACAAUACUGUUUCUAUUUGAAAAAAAUUCUUCGUUGAUACCUAACUGUAUAUCCUGUAUGUGGGUGUUCUGGCAGUGACACUCCUCUAGACAAUAGAUAAUGAAAUGUC
Pomacea canaliculata is the source of this 2119-nucleotide long non-coding RNA. RefSeq lists it as uncharacterized. The record is from RefSeq and is a predicted model, not a curated record. NCBI's taxonomy places the organism in Eukaryota, Metazoa, Mollusca, Gastropoda, Architaenioglossa, Ampullariidae. The transcript is spliced from 2 exons.